CAGCAGCCGCGGGAAUACGUAGGUGGCAAGCGUUGUCCGGAAUUAUUGGGCGUAAAGGGCUCGCAGGCGGUUUCUUAAGUCUGAUGUGAAAGCCCCCGGCUCAACCGGGGAGGGUCAUUGGGAACUGGGAAACUUGAGUGCAGAAGAGGAGAGUGGAAUUCCACGUGUAGCGGUGAAAUGCGUAGAGAUGUGGAGGAACACCAGUGGCGAAGGCGACUCUCUGGUCUGUAACUGACGCUGAGGAGUGAAAGCGUGGGGAGCGAACAGGAUUAGAUACCCCAGUAGUCCCUGUCUCUUAUAA
This 301-nucleotide ribosomal RNA is filed under the name uncultured bacterium. RNAcentral describes it as "partial 16S ribosomal RNA". It matches the Rfam family "Bacterial small subunit ribosomal RNA", at positions 509 to 809 of the family's 1533-position model. The record is from RNAcentral.